This 492-nucleotide ribosomal RNA is filed under the name uncultured bacterium. RNAcentral's name for it is "bacterial SSU rRNA". It matches the Rfam family "Bacterial small subunit ribosomal RNA", at positions 26 to 518 of the family's 1533-position model. The record is from RNAcentral.
AGGACGAACGCUGGCGGCGUGCUUAACACAUGCAAGUCGAGCGGUAAGGCCCCUCCGGGGGCACACGAGCGGCGAACGGGUGAGUAACACGUGAGCAACCUGCCCCUGACUCCGGGAUAAGCGGUGGAAACGCCGUCUAAUACCGGAUACGACCCUCCGGCUCAUGCCGUGGGGGUGGAAAGUUUUUUCGGUUAGGGAUGGGCUCGCGGCCUAUCAGCUUGUUGGUGGGGUAAAGGCCUACCAAGGCGAUUACGGGUAGCCGGCCUGAGAGGGCGACCGGCCACACUGGGACUGAGACACGGCCCAGACUCCUGCGGGAGGCAGCAGUGGGGAAUCUUGCGCAAUGGGCGAAAGCCUGACGCAGCGACGCCGCGUGGGGGAUGACGGCCUUCGGGUUGUAAACUCCUUUUACCACUCACGCAGGCCCGGGGUUUUCUUCGGGUUGACGGUAGGUGGGGAAUUAGGACCGGCUAACUACGUGCCAGCAGCUGC